Dermacentor andersoni is the source of this 101-nucleotide long non-coding RNA. RefSeq lists it as uncharacterized. The record is from RefSeq and is a predicted model, not a curated record. Lineage: Eukaryota; Metazoa; Arthropoda; Arachnida; Ixodida; Ixodidae.
CUGCAAUUUAAAUAGGCAUGCAAACACGGUGUGUGCGUCUAACACCAGUGCUAUUUCAUCAUAAUUUAGCACGAGUCUGCUGGUGCAGGUGUGGUCACGGA